This 817-nucleotide ribosomal RNA is filed under the name uncultured bacterium. RNAcentral describes it as "bacterial SSU rRNA". It matches the Rfam family "Bacterial small subunit ribosomal RNA", at positions 8 to 812 of the family's 1533-position model. The record is from RNAcentral.
AGAGUUUGAUCCUGGCUCAGAUUGAACGCUGGCGGCAGGCUUAACACAUGCAAGUCGAACGGUAACAGGGAGAAAGCUUGCUUUCUUUGCUGACGAGUGGCGGACGGGUGAGUAAUGCUUGGGAAUCUGGCUUAUGGAGGGGGAUAACUACGGGAAACUGUAGCUAAUACCGCGUAAUAUCUUCGGAUUAAAGGGUGGGACCGUAAGGCCACCUGCCAUAAGAUGAGCCCAAGUGGGAUUAGGUAGUUGGUGGGGUAAAGGCCUACCAAGCCGACGAUCUCUAGCUGGUCUGAGAGGAUGACCAGCCACACUGGAACUGAGACACGGUCCAGACUCCUACGGGAGGCAGCAGUGGGGAAUAUUGCACAAUGGGGGGAACCCUGAUGCAGCCAUGCCGCGUGAAUGAAGAAGGCCUUCGGGUUGUAAAGUUCUUUCGGUGAUGAGGAAGGCGGUUGUUUUAAUAGAACAAUCGAUUGACGUUAGUCACAGAAGAAGCACCGGCUAACUCCGUGCCAGCAGCCGCGGUAAUACGGAGGGUGUGAGCGUUAAUCGGAAUGACUGGGCGUAAAGGGCACGCAGGCGGUGACUUAAGUGAGAUGUGAAAGCCCCGGGCUUAACCUGGGAAUUGCAUUUCAUACUGGGUUGCUAGAGUAUUUUAGGGAGGGGUAGAAUUCCACGUGUAGCGGUGAAAUGCGUAGAGAUGUGGAGGAAUACCGAAGGCGAAGGCAGCCCCUUGGGAAUAUACUGACGCUCAUGUGCGAAAGCGUGGGGAGCAAACAGGAUUAGAUACCCUGGUAGUCCACGCUGUAAACGCUGU